AUAUUUUUUAAAUUUUUUUUUUGUAUUUUAAUCCUUUUAUAGGUUCAUUUUUGAAUAAAUUAGUCGAUUCAAGGUCUUAGAGCUUUAAUUUUUUAAAAAAAAUACAAAAUAUUGUUGAUAUAGUGACAAGGAUAAGAUUAACUUCUUUUCGAUAGACCAGAUAAAAUUUCAAAAAGCCACAAUAUCAAUAAAUACACUACUAAAUAUUUUUCCACUUUGUUGGGAUAUUCAUAUAUCUAAUCAAACAUUGUUUUACCAUGUUUCACCUCCACGUAAUAAUAGCUUGUUUAAUUAUCCUUCUGUCUUCUGGCACUAAUAACGCCAAUAUUAUACCAGAAGCUUUAACAAGGGCGACAGCUAACCCUAACCGAAAUAAUGAUGUUUAUAGAGUUUAUAUUGGACCAUCAACAACUACGAUAGGAAACAUUGUGAUAUGCAGUAAAAGUGCAUGUGUACUUGAAUAAACUUAAAUGCUUAUUUUCUCAUAAAACUCUUGUAGGUUAAAACUAAUUUUGAACGAUUUUAUCCAUCUCUUUCUUUUAUAUAAAACAUUAUAAAAUUUAUUUGUGAAUUACAAUGAAAAUUAAAUUAUAAUUUAUUUAUUUUGGGGUGAUAUAUGGGGAUUUGAAAAUCAUUUAAAAUUUGUGAAACAUAUUAAAUGUCGUAAUCUCUUAUUUGUUACAUUAUUUAAUAAUAAAUUUUCGGUUUAAAUUGA
Long non-coding RNA from Gordionus sp. m RMFG-2023, 715 nucleotides. RefSeq lists it as uncharacterized. The record is from RefSeq and is a predicted model, not a curated record. The transcript has 4 exons. NCBI's taxonomy places the organism in Eukaryota, Metazoa, Nematomorpha, Gordioida, Chordodea, Parachordodidae.